CACACGCACAGGAAAGCCUCAUCGUGGGUCAUCUAAAAAGUUACAGACGCUACAAUCAGGCACCCCCGCUGCCGUCCUUUGGAGCGGCUCGCCCCCCGGCGGUCCUCCACUCGGCCACCACCUCGGCCACCGCCUAACGCACACCAGCUUCUCUUUAAGCGCGGAGUCCGCGACUGCUGGCCGUGCGGGAGAGUGCGGGUCCCGUGGCUCGAGGCGGUCGGGGAUGCGGGGAUCCAGGUGUCGGCGGAGGAUCUCGCCGGAUCCGUUCAAGGCGACGGCGGCGACGGCUUGUGGCGAAGCGAGGAGACACGGAGGAGCCCGGGAAGGACGCAGCGCUUCUGUCAGUGCUGGGAAGAUGCGGAGGCGACCGGAUCCGGGGCGGCGGCGGCGGUCGCAGUUGCAGUCGACUUCGGUGGUAGAUCGUCUCCAGCAUUUCCGACACAAACAAGGCCGUCGGGAGGUCCUGGCUCGCCAACCAGCAACUGGACGGUAAAGCCUGGUGACACGUGGGCGGAACCUCAUCCCACUGCCCCCGCAGGCAUUCAAGGGCAUCAAGCAGAUGGAGUUCAUCAAGACCUGUAUUCUUUUGACCCCUUUUGUGAAAGGUAAAGAAUGUUGCUGGAGACUAUACAACAUAUAUGCUAUACAACCAACCUCCCCAGCGACGUGUACCAAGACUUCAUCAAGACCACGACCGAGAUUCGAAAAAACAGGUAUGUAUGUUCUGAAUAAGUUCUCUCUACCAGUUGGUAUGGUUGCCUUGUUGAUCACAUUAAUACAAUUCCCGAAUGCAGUGCUGACCUUGAUGUUGAAAAAAGGAACAUCUGCCCUGAAAACUGCAUAGAGGCGGCACUGAAACUAUCCCAGGGCUGGGCUACAGUUAAACAGGGCUACUUGAACUUUACUGAAGGUCGUAGCCCCGUCGAAGGCAAUGGCAAUGUAGAUGCUGAUGUCAAAGCCCUUGUUGUCAACCCCUUGAUACAAAAACUAAUGGAUAUUCUUUCCAGACCUGUAGGUGCUGAAAAGGUUCUCAUGGUUGCUCCUUGUGUUUGCCUGUGGUUGCUAACUUGGUAUUCGAUUACCUCAUGACUGCAGUCAUACCCUUACAUGAGCGACAAUGAUUAUUCUGCUUUUUUGCAAACCACGCAAGAUUUUUGUAGCGACAGGACCAUCACCCCUCGAGAAAUUUACAAAAACGUGCCUAUUAGUUCUUCUGAAACUUUGUGCUAUGUAAUUCUGCAGUGAUUUCUCUGAGGAAGAUUUGAAAUAAUGGGGCGUCUGAUUUAUAAUUCCUUCUUCGUAGGUGAACAGAUGUAUGAGUAACUGUCAAGUUGUUGGAAUAGUUUGUGCAUAAUUAUCUCCCUACAGACCUAAAGGCCUCUUUCUAAGGGUUAAAGCAUAUGAUAAUCACAACUUGGAUAGUAUCCAUAUGAAAGAAGGUAACAUCAUUAUGCCGCCGCUUGAAGAUAAACAAGCAUUUACUCUUUAUUGAUGAUGAUCCUGAGCGUGAUGAUCUGUUGGUGAGUCAGAAUAAUUCUUACAGAUCGAAGUUGGCACCAAUCGUAUGUGGGUUUAAAAAAUAUGAAAUUAUGAGAAUAGACAAAAACGCUCAUUGUUAAAAUUAUUUGUGUGUUUCUAAGUAGAGUUGUCGAAUGUGGUGGUAUCCAUAUGAUUGGUGUCUCGGAUAUAAAUUGUCUUCUUAGGAUGAGUUGAAUUGUCGAAUUUCAUUCCAGGCUUGAGCUUGAUAAUGAUAUUACUUCUAAUGGGCUUUGUAAUGUGCUUUCAUUGAAUUAUGUCAGUAGAGAUGCACAAUGUGCGUACCUGUCAGGUUUAGCUUAACUCGCUGUUAUUGGGGUAGUAGAAUGAGCCCUCCAAGCUUGCUAAAUAUUUUUUUAUAUAAGUACUGCAUGCCUGAUUAUUCUUAUUGCUUAUUAUUUCAGAUUUUAUCAGCUAAUUGUCUCAGCAAAAAAUAUAUUAAGUGUUCCCUUUAUAUUUCAUUUUUUAGCCUCUAUUGUACUCUGCACCCCUAGAAGAAUGAAAUUAGUUUAUGUUCUUACAUACUUAUUUAAAGCAUUUAUAUAAAAGGAAUGCGGUAAUCCAUUUAAAUGAGGGGAUUAUUAUGCCUCCAACUUGUGCUUACCAUGGGUGAGUCAGGAUUCAGGAGGCCUAAUCUACUUAUCCUGCGAAGUCAAGUGAAUGAAUCGCGGGAGAUGCUACUGCUGCUGGUUGGAACGCUGAUGAUCGUGUGUGUGCUUGUUGCCGCUGCUUGCAUGUGGAUGAGUAGUAUAGUGCACAGCUGCAUGAGCUUGGGACAUAUGUGCUUUGAUACAUUGCUUUUUUUCGCUAUGGGCUUUAAUAUUCUACUCCAUUUCCGAGGGAUAAAAAUGUUUGAGGCUACUAUAGUAUAUGUGAAAUAUACAAUUAUUCAUUACUUGUUUUCUUACCAUCUAAUGUGUUUGGCAUUUCUUCUUUCGGAUUUACAUCUCCUCUUUGUGCAGGAGGUACAAGGUCUCACCACAUGUUGAAGUCUACUUUCAGUUAUUCUAUUUUCAUUUUCAUUUUUGUUUCUGUAUUUUUCUGCGUUACAAGGACUUGAGGUGAUUGAUGGGUUGUAGGGCAUGGGGAGCUUCACGAUUAUGCAUUUUUUUUCUAUAUUUAAUAUAUCAUUGUUGUUGUUAAUUUUAUUGUUUGAUUACACAAAGUCAUGGUAACACUGUAUCUAUAGAUUGUGAUACA
Long non-coding RNA from Triticum aestivum (bread wheat), 2736 nucleotides. RefSeq lists it as uncharacterized. The transcript is spliced from 3 exons. The record is from RefSeq and is a predicted model, not a curated record. NCBI's taxonomy places the organism in Eukaryota, Viridiplantae, Streptophyta, Magnoliopsida, Poales, Poaceae.